CAUAGGAUAUCAUUAACCCAAACUUUGAGCUUGGGUUAAUGAAAUCCUAUGAAUAUUUUAACUGGAAUUGCCUGCAUCUGCAUCCUGCCAGUUCAGUACCACAGCUGAGGGUAUUCUUAUAUGUGUACAGAUCCUAA
Molecule: long non-coding RNA, 137 nt
Organism: Thalassophryne amazonica
Lineage: Eukaryota; Metazoa; Chordata; Actinopteri; Batrachoidiformes; Batrachoididae
Exons: 3
Source: RefSeq, a predicted model, not a curated record